AGCAGCCGCGGUAAUUCCAGCUCCAAUAGCGUAUAUUAAAGUUGUUGCAGUUAAAAAGCUCGUAGUUGAAUUUCGGGAUUAGUGCGCCGGUCGUGCCUUCGGUAUGUACUGGUGUUACUGGUUCCUACCUUCUGACGAACCGUCAUGUCAUUAAUUUGGUGUGGCGGGAAAUCAGGACUGUUACUUUGAAAAAUUAGAGUGUUUAAAGCAGGCUCGCGCUUGAAUACAUUAGCAUGGAAUAAUGAAAUAGGACGUUCGAUCCUAUUUUGUUGGUUUCUAGGAUUGACGUAAUGAUUAAUAGGGAUAGUUGGGGGCAUUAGUAUUCAAUUGUCAGAGGUGAAAUUCUUGGAUUUAUUGAAGACUAACUACUGCGAAAGCAUUUGCCAAGGAUGUUUUCAUUAAUCAAGAACGAAAGUUAGGGGAUCGAAGACGAUCAGAUACCGUCGUAGUCUUAACCAUAAACUAUGCCGACUAGGGAUCGGAUGAUGUUAUUUUUAAUGAC
This 502-nucleotide small RNA is filed under the name uncultured Glomus. RNAcentral describes it as "SSU rRNA". It matches the Rfam family "Eukaryotic small subunit ribosomal RNA", at positions 569 to 1075 of the family's 1831-position model. The record is from RNAcentral. Lineage: Eukaryota; Fungi; Glomeromycota; Glomeromycetes; Glomerales; Glomeraceae.